This 372-nucleotide ribosomal RNA is filed under the name Triticum aestivum (bread wheat). RNAcentral describes it as "partial small subunit ribosomal RNA". Lineage: Eukaryota; Viridiplantae; Streptophyta; Magnoliopsida; Poales; Poaceae. The record is from RNAcentral.
AUGGUGCUGCAAGCACAAAAAAAUAAUCUCUUUGUUGGGUUGGUCGCGGAUCUGGUCGAGAAUGGGGUAGCAAUUCUGCAAUAUGCAGAUGAUACGGUCCUCUGUAUUGAACACGACCCUGGUAAAGCUGUGAAUCUGAAGCUCCUUCUUUAUAUGUUCGAACUCAUGUCGGGUUUGAAAAUAAACUUCCAGAAGAGUGAGAUUCUCUGUGUUGGAGGGGAUGAUAAUAUCCUGCAAACUUAUGCUGAUAUUUUCAACUGUCAGAUUGGCCACUUCCCUAUGAAAUAUUUGGGAGUGCCAGUCAGUUAUUCAUCCAUUUGAGGGGUGGAUUGGGACUUUUUGGACGCCAAAUAUAUUAGCAGAUGUGAUUCU